AAAGCCUCUAAGCAUCAGGUAACAUCAAAUCGUACCCCAAACCGACACAGGUGGUCAGGUAGAGAAUACCAAGGCGCUUGAGAGAACUCGGGUGAAGGAACUAGGCAAAAUGGUGCCGUAACUUCGGGAGAAGGCACGCUGAUAUGUAGGUGAAGCGACUUGCUCGUGGAGCUGAAAUCAGUCGAAGAUACCAGCUGGCUGCAACUGUUUAUUAAAAACACAGCACUGUGCAAACACGAAAGUGGACGUAUACGGUGUGACGCCUGCCCGGUGCCGGAAGGUUAAUUGAUGGGGUUAGCGGUAACGCGAAGCUCUUGAUCGAAGCCCCGGUAAACGGCGGCCGUAACUAUAACGGUCCUAAGGUAGCGAAAUUCCUUGUCGGGUAAGUUCCGACCUGCACGAAUGGCGUAAUGAUGGCCAGGCUGUCUCCACCCGAGACUCAGUGAAAUUGAACUCGCUGUGAAGAUGCAGUGUACCCGCGGCAAGACGGAAAGACCCCGUGAACCUUUACUAUAGCUUGACACUGAACAUUGAGCCUUGAUGUGUAGGAUAGGUGGGAGGCUUUGAAGUGUGGACGCCAGUCUGCAUGGAGCCGACCUUGAAAUACCACCCUUUAAUGUUUGAUGUUCUAACGUUGGCCCGUAAUCCGGGUUGCGGACAGUGUCUGGUGGGUAGUUUGACUGGGGCGGUCUCCUCCUAAAGAGUAACGGAGGAGCACGAAGGUUGGCUAAUCCUGGUCGGACAUCAGGAGGUUAGUGCAAUGGCAUAAGCCAGCUUGACUGCGAGCGUGACGGCGCGAGCAGGUGCGAAAGCAGGUCAUAGUGAUCCGGUGGUUCUGAAUGGAAGGGCCAUCGCUCAACGGAUAAAAGGUACUCCGGGGAUAACAGGCUGAUACCGCCCAAGAGUUCAUAUCGACGGCGGUGUUUGGCACCUCGAUGUCGGCUCAUCACAUCCUGGGGCUGAAGUAGGUCCCAAGGGUAUGGCUGUUCGCCAUUUAAAGUGGUACGCGAGCUGGGUUUAGAACGUCGUGAGACAGUUCGGUCCCUAUCUGCCGUGGGCGCUGGAGAACUGAGGGGGGCUGCUCCUAGUACGAGAGGACCGGAGUGGACGCAUCACUGGUGUUCGGGUUGUCAUGCCAAUGGCACUGCCCGGUAGCUAAAUGCGGAAGAGAUAAGUGCUGAAAGCAUCUAAGCACGAAACUUGCCCCGAGAUGAGUUCUCCCUGAGACUUUAAGUCUCCUGAAGGAACGUUGAAGACGACGACGUUGAUAGGCCGGGUGUGUAAGCGCAGCGAUGCGUUGAGCUAACCGGUACUAAUG
RNAcentral lists this ribosomal RNA (1318 nucleotides) under Escherichia coli. RNAcentral describes it as "partial 23S ribosomal RNA". It matches the Rfam family "Bacterial large subunit ribosomal RNA", at positions 1614 to 2906 of the family's 2925-position model. Lineage: Bacteria; Pseudomonadati; Pseudomonadota; Gammaproteobacteria; Enterobacterales; Enterobacteriaceae. The record is from RNAcentral.